GGGGACUCGGCGGGACUCCAGCUACUGCAGUGGCUCCGCGGGCUCCCACCUCCGGGCCGCACCGGCGCCGCCAGAGGCCGGGACACCUGCAGCCCGCGGAGUGCGGUCUGGCCGCGCCUCUGUGCCCGGGCACAGCUGUGGGGACACUGGGUGCGGAAAACCGGGCGCCAGGACGUGGGAGAGCCGCGGACCUGCCUUUAAAGGCGCGUGCCUCGCUCUGGAGUUUGCGGAGCGAUCGGAGACGGGGAGGCUGAGGAGGAAACUCUUCCCCCGCGCCAUUUGCCCCGAGAUGUGGCGGCGCUCCUGGCCCCGCGGUCACGGCCACCCUCAACUGGCCAGGCCGCGGAGGCCGGUGACUGGCUGCUGGGUGCAAUCCCUAGGGAGGUCUCAGGGCUGCGGAUGGGCCUGGGUCUCGGCCGCCACGGGGGUCGAUCGGGCUACUGUGUGGACAGGGUGGCCAAGGAGGCAGCAGGUGUGCGGUCAACAGCCUGGCCAGAAUUCUGCUGUAGCUGGAUGGGGUGUGUGAGCGCGCGGGUGUACAUGUGCCUGGGUGUGCGCGGGUGUACAUCCACACCUGACUGCGUGUGCGCGAGUACACGCUGUGAGCCCAUAGUGUGUCUGGAAUUGGUGGGUUCUUGGUCUCACUGACUUCAAGAAUGAAGCCGCAUACCCUCGCGGUGAGUGGGUACAGCUCUUAAGGUGGUGCGUCUGGAGUUUGUUACUUCUGAUGUUCAGAUGUGUUCGGAGUUUCUUCCUUCUGGUGGGUUCGUGGUCUCGCUGGCUCAGGAUUGAAGCUGCAGACCUAGGCGGCCAGCCUGGGCUUGUUUUCCCGGUAGUACUGGGUUCUGAGAGAGAGUAACUGCAUGGAAGGCCUUGAAGACUGGGCUUGGGCCUGCUGUACCCACAUGACUGCUUCUGCCACGUUCUACUGGCCAAGCUCUAUGGGCAGCUCAGACACAAGGGAAGAGACUCUGCUGCUUCCUGGGAGAAGCUGCAAGACCACAUUGCGAAGGAACAUGUUGUUGCUGCUCCCAUGUUACCUUCGUCAGUGACCUGAGAUGCAGACUGGAUCUAGGGAAUGGUGUUUCCUGUGUGAUGCCUUCCAGGAGUAUCUGCACCACGGGCAGUGCCAGGCCGAGGACAGAGGGCCUAAUGGAGGACACUCUACAACUCCAUCCUGCUGCUGGGGGGGCUUGGGGGCGCCUCCACGAGGGUCUUCAGAGGAAAGGCAUGUGUGUGGUCUGUGGCCUGCCAGCAGGAGAGCUGGGGGAGGCCGGCAUCUUGAGGCUGUUGGCAGCAAGUGCAGGCAGAGGCCUCGGGCCAGAGGGGAGGUGGCAGGGCUCAGGUGCCCUGUGCUUCCUCGGAGAAGGCACUUGGGAUGAAGGCUUAGUCCUGCCUGGUAAACCUGGAGGCCUGUGAACACUGGGGUUAGCCCCAACAAGGGAGGAGGUUCCCGCUGCCUCACUAAGAACAGCCUGCUGCUACACUCACCCUGACAGCUGCUCCGCUCCCAGUGAACCCCACCCCGAGAAGGCUCAUCGGGGCCACGGACCUCCCUCAGCGCUGCAUUCAGAAUCCCUCAGGAGUUGUAAACUUCCUGAUUUCUGGACCCAUCACCAGAGCCCAACGUCACGGGUAAGGGUUAGGGCCUGGAUGUCAGGAUUCAAUUUGGAGAAUUCCCCGGGGCAAUUCCACCAUUGCAGACACUGAAACGGAGCUGGGGCAGAAGAAUCACACCAGGUGGCUCGAGCUGAGCGGCUGGGAGUGUGGCAGUGAAGACACUGAGUGUCCGUCAGGGAAGAUGGCUCUGGGUACAACAGCGUGCCCAGCCCCUUAGAUAUUCUCUGCACGGAAGUGGCCCCACCCUGAAGCGCGUGUGCAGUGACUGUUCAUGCUUCUGUGUGUGUGCAGGAGUAGUUUGGUUGGAGUGUGCAUAUGCGAAUGUGUGUGUAUGGAAGUCUAUCUAUCUGUAAUGUAAAGCAGUUGCGUAAUGCAAAUGUGUGUGUAUGGACAUCUAUCUGUAAUGCAAAGCAGUUGCGUAAUGCAAAUGUGUGUGUAUGGAUGUCUAUCUAUCUGUAAUGUAAAGUUCCCAAGUAUUGUGUAUAUCAUUGUUUGAGUUUUUAAAUUCUAAGAUAAUUUCUAGAGAAAAAGAUGUACGGGUGAUUCCUGGUGAAAAGCAGGGACCGUGGGCCUCAUAUUGAGACACAUUUCACGCUGUUUAGAUUGUAAUGGCAAUUAUGUAUGACUUUUGUACGUUUUUUAAAAAGCCAAUAAAAUA
RNAcentral lists this long non-coding RNA (2278 nucleotides) under Homo sapiens (human). RNAcentral's name for it is "ADAMTS16 divergent transcript". The record is from RNAcentral. Lineage: Eukaryota; Metazoa; Chordata; Mammalia; Primates; Hominidae.